Long non-coding RNA from Syngnathoides biaculeatus (alligator pipefish), 2591 nucleotides. RefSeq lists it as uncharacterized. Lineage: Eukaryota; Metazoa; Chordata; Actinopteri; Syngnathiformes; Syngnathidae. The record is from RefSeq and is a predicted model, not a curated record. The transcript has 3 exons.
UAUCAAGAUGGCGGCUACAGUUUUGGUGGCCAACUAGCCAUCCCGUUUUUUUUUUUUUUUUUUUUUUUUUUUUUAAGAUCAGUGGGCAUCCACAAUAAGGGUUAAUUUGAAAACUUACAGCAUUGUUACACUCUCAAUGUUCUUUCCGCAAGCACAGACUUGUUCAAUUGCAUCAUCGGCAGUUGUGUUUGUUAACUUUGAAGGCCAAUCAACACUCUGAUCCCGCGGGCGAGACACGUCGGCUGGAACCACUCGAGCAGACGAUGACGCGCGAAAGAAAUCCUUGGCCCUGAUCGAGCACCGCCGAGCCGGACACCUCACCACGGGCGGCUCUCGGCUACCUGUCACAAUCGUUCAAAUCGUUAACGAUGCGCUAUUGGUGACGCUGACCUAUCUAGAUGGGAGCUAUACGGGGAUAUUACUUGACUGCAACAAAAAAUAAGCCAGACAGAGCUGCUUUUUUUUUUUUUUUUGGUGCGGAGUGCGCUCAGGUACCGUAAAGACGACAGCCGGCUGUUUUGCGCCAGACUGAAGUUGCCGUCGGUGCGUCUGCGCCUGCCUCGGAGGUGCAAGUCAGCCGCGACGGCGAGCAGAGAAUUCAAAAGCCGCAGGCCAAGCGGGACCCUUCCUCCGGUAACCGAGCGGCCGUGCGCGCCACCUUCUGGUCUCGGUGGCGGCCCUCCGGCUUGCCAAAGUCCUGCGGGCGACGCGUAAACUAGCGCGUCGCCUCUUUUCGACGAGCUCCGAGACUUCGAGACACCCCGAGGGCCGGACCUGAACGUAAGAAGUGUUAACAAGCAUGAGCGCUUCGUAGAGGGAUCUUUGUGCUGCUCUGUUUGAGUCCAAAUUUGUUUUAUGUGGCUAUUGAUUAUUAAGUAUUGUACUGUAUUUCCCAUGUGAAGAUUGCAUAUCCCGCUGUUGCUCUUGGUAUCUUCCAUGAAACGACAACAGAAUAUUGUACCUUAUAGAGCUCGUGCACUUACGUCAUAAAAAUCACGUGACUUUUGUUUACGUCGCCAUAUUGCCAGUCAAGCUAAGCAUUGGUCAAUGCUAGGUCGGUUGGAGACGACACAAAAAUAUGUCUUAUGUCUGGGCACGACGCCCAGAGCAUUGUCCGGAUACUGUUAGACAUUAAGAAGGUGAAAAUACACGAAGGUGCUUGGAAAAAUUAGAGGACUCCUGCAUAGAGGACUCUUAUUCAAUGCCGAAGUUGAUGUUUUCGCCGAAAAGAAAUUGGACUGUUAAUUCGCUUGUCUUGGACGACUGGAUCUACACAUGGAUCUGGUGAGUUAAUCGUCGAGAUUUACACGUAAAAGAUUGAAAGUGUAGAAAAGUUUGGACGCAUACGAAUACUUUGUUGCUGGAUCUGCUCUCAUCAAGAAUGCAUCCCACAUAGUGACGGUUUUGACAGCUUGUGAACGCGGAAGUGUGUUCGGCGACACGUUAACCUCUGCCGGAAUCCAUUGAUCUUUUCAGCUAGUAUUCAAUACAAAUAUAUUUAAAUAAAUGACCCCUGGUUUUACACAAACUCGCAUUCAUUAACUAUGAGGAAAAAAAAAAAAAAGGAAAAGUCGUCUCCACGGAACGUACACGGAAGCGAUUGAGGCCACAAUUAACCUCCGUAAACUUCUGCAACAGAGUUUUUUUUUGAUACGCAUUGUUCUCAAACGAGCCAACUUGGCAUUAUCAAUACUUUUUGGUAAUUUGAGAUUGAGAAGAGUAAUUCCUACCUGAAAUGAAGCGAUCGCUACACAAGUGUGUGUAUUUUGGUUGGGCACCAUUCGCCAUGUUUAAUUACCGAAAUUUGUCGCUAUUUUCUGGUCUUUUCAGUUGGUAUUCCAUAGAAUGAUCGAUUAGAAUAUCUGUCUCAUCUGUUGUGACAACCAACAGCACAACAGGUCUCGGGUAUUGUAAAUAUUCUCGUCCCACGUCAAGCAGCUCUGUUUGACCGCCAAUAUGGCGCCGUGAAAAUGAUGACGUCACGUGCACGAGAACUCUAUUGGGAGCGGUCUAAACAUGUACACAAAGUUUAUUUCUUUUGAAUCCAGAAGUCACCAAAGCAGUUUUGUCAACUAUUACUCAUUUUAGAGGCUUGCUCACUCAUAAGAAAACGCCCGGCAGUGACGUGCGCUGAGGUCAGACUGACAAAUUUGCAUUUCAUUGGCUGCCCGACAAAACGGGUCAAAUUUUCUGUCAUCAUCUUUCAAGCAGAUCUUACAUUUCUGACUGUCCAGUGUUGAGAACGGUUCCGGGUCGGCUAUAAAAUCUUUGCCGCUUCACGUCGCGCACAAGGCGAGCCGACGAGUUUGUUUCGACUUCCUGAAUCAAGGCCGCGCAUCCGCAUUGAGGAGGAACCUCAAAACGAUUACAAUGAACUUCACACAUCCGCCCAAUUAACUGCUUGAAACAAAAUCUUAAAGGUCCUGACACCCUCGUCGUAAACGGGUGGGGGGUGGAGCAGGUGACCGGCCCCAUUUUCCCACGAGUCCUGGCCCUCCCGCAGGCCACCUGUACUCGGGCACCGCUGGCUGAUGAAUUUUUCAACAGGACACGCAGAGCCUCGUCACGUUCCUGCACCCCCGCCGCUCGCU